Long non-coding RNA from Cavia porcellus (domestic guinea pig), 1021 nucleotides. RefSeq lists it as uncharacterized. The transcript has 5 exons. NCBI's taxonomy places the organism in Eukaryota, Metazoa, Chordata, Mammalia, Rodentia, Caviidae. The record is from RefSeq and is a predicted model, not a curated record.
GAUGCUUUCUGGAUAUGAGCAAGGUUUUCUUGGUUUGAUAAACCAUAUAAACUUGGUCAGAUUCAGUCUAGGCUGGGGUGGUGGUCAUGAUAUUCAACAACUAGAUUUCCACUGGAUCAUAUUUCUGCCUCCAUUUGUUGGUAGUAACAAAGAUCCGUUUUUGUUUUUUUUUUUUUUUUUCUAGAAACAAUUCCAGCUCAUUCUGCUGUGAAGAAGCACUGGAGAUGUAAACAUGAAGAGCAAGAAAUAUAACAGACUUUGGAUGGCAUAUGGUUGUUUGGACCAUUUUUGAAGGGCAAUACUUUCAAGAUAAUAGAGACAACUCCUAAGCCAUGUUGUUCUCGACCUGGGGACUGUCUCAUAUGUUGCUGAAGGAGUGGCAGCACGUGAGGUCCAGCUUUGCACGGCCCAACUUGUAAGAAGUAAAGCUGAUUCCGAAAGAGGUUGUUCAGCUCUCGAGUCCAGAUCAGUCUUCCUCUACAGCCGUUCUCUUCCUGUCACCCCUCUGUCUCGCAAAGCAUGCUCCUUCAAGCUGCUGAGCAUACUGCUUAGCAGAUCGGAUGCACCAAUGCACAGCCAGGCUCCAUUCAGAGCCUCAUUUGUCUUCUUUGCCACUUCCCCUGCCACCACUUCAGAGAGUCCAGAGGAACUCAGAGCUCGUGAGCAGUGGAACUCAAGAUAUUGUGAAUGAGGAAAAUGUAAAUUGCAGAAAGCUUCAUGCACCAUAGAUUCAGAUGCUACAUGAAGGAGAUCAGAAUGCCAGAAACAAUUUGUGUGUUUUGGCUGGCUGUAAAGAAAACUCAGGAUUUGGCAAAAUUUUGUAAUUUCCUUAAUGUUUAAAAAUAUACUCUAAACUUAAAUAGAAUUGUUAGAAUUGUUAUUGGAAUAUACCACAUUAUAAAUUUUAGCAUUCUUUUUUUGGGGGUCUUUUUCCUUUUUAUCGGCACUGGGGAUCGAACUCACGACUGCCUGCUUGCCAGGCAGGCGCUUUAGUAUUCUCAUUUGCAAAACUGUAAUAUUU